RNAcentral lists this ribosomal RNA (460 nucleotides) under uncultured bacterium. RNAcentral's name for it is "partial 16S ribosomal RNA". It matches the Rfam family "Bacterial small subunit ribosomal RNA", at positions 338 to 795 of the family's 1533-position model. The record is from RNAcentral.
CCUACGGGGGGCAGCAGUGAGGAAUAUUGGUCAAUGGACGAGAGUCUGAACCAGCCAAGUAGCGUGAAGGAUGACUGCCCUAUGGGUUGUAAACUUCUUUUAUAAAGGAAUAAAACGAGGCACGUGUGCCUUUUUGCAUGUACUUUAUGAAUAAGGAUCGGCUAACUCCGUGCCAGCAGCCGCGGUAAUACGGAGGAUCCGAGCGUUAUCCGGAUUUAUUGGGUUUAAAGGGAGCGUAGAUGGGUUGUUAAGUCAGUUGUGAAAGUUUGCGGCUCAACCGUAAAAUUGCAAUUGAUACUGGCAGUCGUGAGUACAGUUGAGGUAGGCGGAAUUCGUGGUGUAGCGGUGAAAUGCUUAGAUAUCACGAAGAACCCCGAUUGCGAAGGCAGCUUACUAAACUGUGACUGACAUUGCUGCUCGAAAGUGUGGGUAUCAAACAGGAUUAGAUACCCUAGUAGUC